CAACGCUUGACUUUCAACAAAACAAACUUUAUCCUGCACGUGGUAAGGGUUAUAAUUCUUUGUACAAAUUAAGUGUUUUGUUGUCUAUUUGCGGCCAGGUAAUUCUUUUUCUUAAAUUAGGGUGGGGACAGUAUGUUUAUAAAUUUGCAAUGACCGAUCGAAUUCAGUUCACAUUUGGCCACCGGUCGAUAAGUUCGGCCUCAAAAUUAUAAAUAUGUAACAGUGAAUUUAAUAGUCGGUAACGGUAAAUAAAAUGCAAAAAAUAGUUUGGACAGUUUAGAAUCAGUGAAAAAGUACCGAAACAGUGAAAUAAAAACCGAACCCGGUAAAAUAUUUGCAAUAGAAAUCCUAUACGCUAUGAAAAGAAAUGUUCAACAUGGUCAAGCUGAAAUUUAAUUCGACGGGAAAGUACCAAAAAUGCCAAAAUCUGCAUUUAUUCGCGAAGGCAGUCGAGACCAGGAGGGAGCAGGCCACAAAGCAAACCGAUACAUCUCCAAACGAAAACAGUUUCAACGCGUCGCCAUUACACGUCAGAAAGAAAACAAAAUUGGCGGGAAUUUCAAAAAUGGAACAAUAACCUCUAACUCGGCCACGGACGCCAUUCAGCUAAAAAGACAAAACGAGCAAAUAUUUACUCACGAUCGGACGGCCGACACUUCGGGCCGAAAUUAUUUUACCGAUACGAUACGAGUAUCGAGCAAUCGGUGUCCGAGCGAAUCGAUUCGAAUCGAUUGCCACCUGUUUUGCGAAUUCGAUUUUUGACGGUAAACCAAUUUUGAUUUUGUAAUAUUGUUAAGGGCUUGUUUUUAUAUGUUGAGAUACUAAACCUUUUUUGUUUAAUAGUAAUUGAAGUAUUAGUUUCUGGAUCUAUUUAGAAAUAAUUUUGGGAUGUUCAAAGCUUAAAAGAUUACCAAGAUGAUUUUUAUCCAACAUUUUUGCUAUAUUUUCCCGUUAUUAAACGUAAACGUAACGUAAACGUAAACCAGGUUAUUAAUCCGUUCGAUUAUAAAGAAACGAGCCCUCAAUGAUACCUAUGUAUUGAAAGUAAUUAACUUCUUUGUGUAAAGCAUUUUGUAUGUAUUCGCAGCUGUUUGCAAAACAUACACGAACAUAUUUCGGAUUUCUUUGACUUUAAGCAUAAUUCUCCCUUGUCAUAUAUCGGUGAUAUUAUUACAAAGAUGGUAUUUUUCGGCCAUUCUAAGUAAUCAUUUUUAUGACUUUGAAUAACGUCUCUUUUCAGUUCUUUUUUGUCAGUCAAAAUAACAACAUAAUUUCAAUUUCGUUUUAAAUUGAUCUGAGCAACACAUACUCUGCUUCGAAUUAAAAAAUUAAUAAUUAAGGCCUAUAUACUGCAAAGUAUUAACCAACAUUGUGCCAUAACAUCAUCUCUAUAAAUAUUAUAUUAAAAAUAGUGUCAUUUGUCAUAAUUUAAAUCACGUAUGUUAGGCGAUAAUACGGACUUACUAUUUUCGGAAUGUAUCGUUCUGAAUAUGCUCUUAAAAUUAUAUUCCCAGACACAAAACGAAUUCUAAACCACAACUUUGACAAACAUUGAAAACAAUUGAAACAGUAAUAUUUUAAAACUACACAAAUAUUUAUAUUGUACUAGUUCACAAAGCAGCUGGCAAUAACCAAACACGGAUCACUUACCGAUAUUGAUUUCAACCAAUUUCAAAUCGAUAAACAAUCAA
Trichoplusia ni (cabbage looper) is the source of this 1691-nucleotide long non-coding RNA. RefSeq lists it as uncharacterized. Lineage: Eukaryota; Metazoa; Arthropoda; Insecta; Lepidoptera; Noctuidae. The record is from RefSeq and is a predicted model, not a curated record. The transcript has 2 exons.